AACGAAUGCUCAUCUCCCGCCGGAACUAAAGCCGAGAGGGGCGUUUCCUCGUCGGGCAGUACUGCAGGAUCUCACGAGCAGUCCAGACGAAUCUCCUCCAGAGAAAGUACUCUGUCCAAGAAGUCGCUAGUCGCUUUUUGAAUAACAGUCGUAAAGGGGUCUUAAAACUCGCUAAAUUGGCAACAUUGGUGUCCUAGUCGUAAUUUGAAACUAUACCCUUUUAUUAGAGAGUACUCUUGCUUUAUUUUGAAAAGAUGGAACCGGAAAUGAUCCCAUUCAAUUUUAUAUUCUACCCUUGAAUAACAAUUUAUGACAACAAUGUAUAGUAUUUAUAUUACGUUACUCUCAGUGAAAAGUAGUAAGGAAAACUGAGCACAUAAUAAUGUGCCUUGUAUGUUGAUCUACGUCCCUGCCCCUUUUCCUACUACCAUUUGUAUUGACGCAAAAAUGGCGGCUCAGACAGCUCGUGGUGUGCCGCUGAGUACGCUUUCUCCCAGGUUUCUUCACAGCAACUCCACCAGCCACACCUGGCCC
Molecule: long non-coding RNA, 534 nt
Organism: Monopterus albus (swamp eel)
Lineage: Eukaryota; Metazoa; Chordata; Actinopteri; Synbranchiformes; Synbranchidae
Exons: 2
Source: RefSeq, a predicted model, not a curated record